Molecule: ribosomal RNA, 253 nt
Filed under: uncultured bacterium
Lineage: Bacteria
Description: partial 16S ribosomal RNA
Rfam family: Bacterial small subunit ribosomal RNA
Source: RNAcentral
UACGGGGGGGGCAAGCGUUGUUCGGAAUUACUGGGCGUAAAGGGCUCGUAGGUGGUCAACUAAGUCGGACGUGAAAUCCCUCGGCUUAACCGGGGAACUGCGUCCGAUACUGGAUGACUUGAGUUCGGGAGAGGGAUGCGGAAUUCCAGGUGUAGCGGUGAAAUGCGUAGAGAUCCGGAAGAACACCGGUGGCGAAGGCGGCCUGCUGGGCAGUUGCUGACACUGAGGCGCGACAGCGUGGGGAGCAAACAGG